This 475-nucleotide ribosomal RNA is filed under the name uncultured organism. RNAcentral describes it as "partial 16S ribosomal RNA". It matches the Rfam family "Bacterial small subunit ribosomal RNA", at positions 332 to 798 of the family's 1533-position model. The record is from RNAcentral.
UACACUCCUACGGGAGGCAGCAGUAGGGAAUCUUCGGCAAUGGGGGCAACCCUGACCGAGCAACGCCGCGUGAGUGAAGAAGGUUUUCGGAUCGUAAAGCUCUGUUGUAAGUCAAGAACGAGUGUGAGAGUGGAAAGUUCACACUGUGACGGUAGCUUACCAGAAAGGGACGGCUAACUACGUGCCAGCAGCCGCGGUAAUACGUAGGUCCCGAGCGUUGUCCGGAUUUAUUGGGCGUAAAGCGAGCGCAGGCGGUUUGAUAAGUCUGAAGUUAAAGGCUGUGGCUCAUCCAUAGUUCGCUUUGGAAACUGUCAAACUUGAGUGCAGAAGGGGAGAGUGGAAUUCCAUGUGUAGCGGUGAAAUGCGUAGAUAUAUGGAGGAACACCGGUGGCGAAAGCGGCUCUCUGGUCUGUAACUGACGCUGAGGCUCGAAAGCGUGGGGAGCGAACAGGAUUAGAAACCCUGGUAGUCCCAU